Cinara cedri is the source of this 261-nucleotide non-coding RNA. The record is from the annotation of a GenBank genome assembly. Lineage: Eukaryota; Metazoa; Arthropoda; Insecta; Hemiptera; Aphididae.
CUGAAUACCCACUUGAGUGGUGCAGGCGGUUACGGUCGAUUCACAGUUCGAAUAUUCACCACAUCAAUUUUAUCGCGGUAUAUAAUAACUGGCAAAACUCAGGAAUUAAAAUUAUUACACACUUCGGAAUAACGCGAUGACGAUUCGUCGCUCCGACCAAUCUGCAGUUUUCCAGACCGUCCCUACUUUAUAAUAUAAUAAUAAUCCUAUAAAAUCCCUUCGUACGCAUUUGGUCUCGCACCCUUCGUUAGAUUUUGAUUU